AUACGUAGGUGACAAGCGUUAUCCGGAUUUACUGGGCGUAAAGGGCGUGUAGGCGGUCUUGCAAGUCAGAAGUGAAAUUUCUGAGCUCAACUCGGGCGCUGCUUCUGAAACUGCAGGACUUGAGUGCUGGAGGGGAUAGCGGAAUUCCUAGUGGAGCGGUAAAAUGCGCAGAUAUUAGGAAGAACACCGGUGGCGAAGGCGGCUAUCUGGACAGUAACUGACGCUGAGGCGCGAAAGCGUGGGGAGCAAACAGGAUUAGAUACCCUGGUAGUCCACGCUGUAAACGAUGAAUACUAGGUGUGGGGGGACUGACCCCCUCCGUGCCGCAGUUAACACAAUAAGUAUUCCACCUGGGGAGUACGAUCGCAAGAUUGAAACUCAAAUGAAUUGACGGGG
Molecule: ribosomal RNA, 396 nt
Filed under: uncultured bacterium
Lineage: Bacteria
Description: partial 16S ribosomal RNA
Rfam family: Bacterial small subunit ribosomal RNA
Source: RNAcentral